UCAUGGACUUGCUCUGCAUGGCGGGCUCCCUGCACUUCUGUGCAGCCAACCGUCAUGGGGCUGUCUCUUCAUUUUCCGUCCGGUCGGUUUGUAUGCUGAUCGGGGAUGCUCGUUACCGGUUGCCUGUGUCGUUAUACCCAUGUGGUAGGCGGAAUGGACGGUCUUUUGCUAGCGUAGACUGCCCCGUUGAUGUUCUGUCGUCAGCGGGGCGGCCGAGGUGCGGCGAAUUCCUCUUGCUGCCGUGCGCGCAAGCCAUGGUAAUGCAUUUGGAAGCUCGUCGGGUCUCAUGGAUACGGUGCCCAUUGUGAGCUCUGCAGGCUUCAUGUCCGCAGGCCUCGCGAGGUUGCCCCUGCACGGAUCAUCGCUCUCUCUCGCUCCGCGCACACGCCUCGCCUAUGUGCGGCGUGUUGAGUCGGUGCGGUCGGGGCGUGAUGCAUGUAAGCGCGGCAUGCCCCUCUCAUCGAAUGACCCGCGAUCGCCGGUAAUCGCCGUCAUGAGGCCCUACCUUCUGGGUGGGCGCCGGAGACGACGUUUCGGCCAUCGUUUAGGAUGUGC
This 555-nucleotide unclassified non-coding RNA is filed under the name Schoenoplectus triqueter. RNAcentral describes it as "partial miscellaneous RNA". Lineage: Eukaryota; Viridiplantae; Streptophyta; Magnoliopsida; Poales; Cyperaceae. The record is from RNAcentral.